GUGAGCAUAGUUUAAGAAAAAUAUUAGAUUGUGAUUCUGAAGAUAGAAGUUAAAACCUACUUGCUCACC
This 69-nucleotide transfer RNA is filed under the name Trimma naudei (rubble dwarfgoby). Its description in RNAcentral is "tRNA-His". It matches the Rfam family "tRNA". Rfam says of the family: Transfer RNA (tRNA) molecules are approximately 80 nucleotides in length. The record is from RNAcentral. Lineage: Eukaryota; Metazoa; Chordata; Actinopteri; Gobiiformes; Gobiidae.